Molecule: ribosomal RNA, 485 nt
Filed under: uncultured bacterium
Lineage: Bacteria
Description: partial 16S ribosomal RNA
Rfam family: Bacterial small subunit ribosomal RNA
Source: RNAcentral
GAUGAACGCUAGCGGCAGGCCUAAUACAUGCAAGUCGAACGGUGUCUUCGGACAUAGUGGCGCACGGGUGCGUAACACGUAUGCAACCUACCUUACAUUGGGGGAUAGCCUUUCGAAAGGGAGAUUAAUACCGCAUAAGACAGUAGCUGGGCAUCCAGCAGCUGUUAAAGAUUUAUCGAUGUAAGCUGGGCAUGCGUCCAAUUAGCUAGUUGGUGAGGUAACGGCUCACCAAGGCAAUGAUUGGUAGGGGAACUGAGAGGUCAAUCCCCCACACUGGCACUGAGAUACGGGCCAGACUCCUACGGGAGGCAGCAGUAGGGAAUAUUGGGCAAUGGACGCAAGUCUGACCCAGCCAUGCCGCGUGCAGGAUGAAGGCAUUAUGCGUUGUAAACUGCUUUUAUACAGGAAGAAACGACUCUUGCGAGAGGCAUUGACGGUACUGUAUGAAUAAGCACCGGCUAACUCCGUGCCAGCCGCCGCGGUAA